Molecule: ribosomal RNA, 511 nt
Filed under: uncultured bacterium
Lineage: Bacteria
Description: partial 16S ribosomal RNA
Rfam family: Bacterial small subunit ribosomal RNA
Source: RNAcentral
AUUGAACGCUGGCGGCAUGCCUAACACAUGCAAGUCGAACGGCAGCACAAUAAAGAUUUCGGUCUUUAUGGGUGGCGAGUGGCGGACGGGUGAGUAACGCGUAGGAAUCUGCCCUGGCGAGUGGGAUAACCCGAGGAAACUCGGGCUAAUACUGCAUGACAUUGAGAGAUCAAAAGCAGGGGACCGAAAGGCCUUGCGCUCUGGGGUGAGCCUACGUCGGAUUAGCUAGUUGGUGGGGUAAAGGCCUACCAAGGCGACGAUCCGUAGCUGGUCUGAGAGGAUGACCAGCCACACGUGGACUGAGACACGGCCCAGACUCCUACGGGAGGCAGCAGUGGGGAAUCUUGGACAAUGGGGGAAACCCUGAUCCAGCGAUGCCGCGUGUGUGAAGAAGGCCUUCGGGUUGUAAGGCACUUUAGGUGGGGAAGAAAGGUAGCGAGUGAAUAACUUUCUGCUGUGACGGUACCCACAGAAUAAGCACCGGCUAACUCUGUGCCAGCCGCCGCAGUAA